UACGAAGGGUGCAAGCGUUACUCGGAAUUACUGGGCGUAAAGCGUGCGUAGGUGGUGAGUUAAGUCUGAUGUGAAAUCCCCGGGCUCAACCUGGGAAUGGCAUUGGAUACUGGCUCGCUCGAGUGCGGUAGAGGGUGGUGGAAUUCCCGGUGUAGCAGUGAAAUGCGUAGAGAUCGGGAGGAACAUCUGUGGCGAAGGCGGCCAUCUGGACGUCAACUGACGCUGAGACGCGAAAGCAUGGGGAGCAAACAGG
RNAcentral lists this ribosomal RNA (253 nucleotides) under uncultured bacterium. RNAcentral's name for it is "partial 16S ribosomal RNA". It matches the Rfam family "Bacterial small subunit ribosomal RNA", at positions 524 to 776 of the family's 1533-position model. The record is from RNAcentral.